RNAcentral lists this ribosomal RNA (645 nucleotides) under uncultured Bacteroidota bacterium. RNAcentral describes it as "bacterial SSU rRNA". It matches the Rfam family "Bacterial small subunit ribosomal RNA", at positions 110 to 753 of the family's 1533-position model. Lineage: Bacteria; Pseudomonadati; Bacteroidota. The record is from RNAcentral.
GUAACGCGUAUGCAAUCUACCUUUUACAGGGGAAUAGCCCAGAGAAAUUUGGAUUAAUGCCCCAUAGUAUAUUUGAAUGGCAUCAUUUGAUUAUUAAAGUCACAACGGUAAAAGAUGAGCAUGCGUCCCAUUAGUUAGUUGGUAAGGUAACGGCUUACCAAGACGAUGAUGGGUAGGGGUCCUGAGAGGGAUAUCCCCCACACUGGUACUGAGACACGGACCAGACUCCUACGGGAGGCAGCAGUGAGGAAUAUUGGUCAGUGGGCGCAAGCCUGAACCAGCCAUGCCGCGUGCAAGAUGACGGUCCUAUGGAUUGUAAACUGCUUUUAUACAGGAAGAAACACUCCCUCGUGAGGGAGCUUGACGGUACUGUAAGAAUAAGGAUCGGCUAACUCCGUGCCAGCAGCCGCGGUAAUACGGAGGAUCCAAGCGUUAUCCGGAAUCAUUGGGUUUAAAGGGUCCGUACGCGGCCCAGUAAGUCAGUGGUGAAAUCUCCCGGCUCAACCGGGAAAUUGCCAUUGAUACUGCUGGGCUUGAAUUAUCAGGAAGUAACUAGAAUAUGUAGUGUAGCGGUGAAGUGCUUAUAGAUUACGUGGAAUACCAAUUGCGAAGGCAGGUUACUACUGGUGGAUUGACGCUGAUGGA